CCAACAGGGAUUGCCCUAGUAACGGCGAGUGAAGCGGCAACAGCUCAAAUUUGAAAUCUGGCGUCUUUGGCGUCCGAGUUGUAAUUUGCAGAGGGCGCUUUGGCAUUGGCAGCGGUCCAAGUUCCUUGGAACAGGACGUCACAGAGGGUGAGAAUCCCGUACGUGGUCGCUAGCCUUUACCGUGUAAAGCCCCUUCGACGAGUCGAGUUGUUUGGGAAUGCAGCUCUAAAUGGGAGGUAAAUUUCUUCUAAAGCUAAAUACUGGCCAGAGACCGAUAGCGCACAAGUAGAGUGAUCGAAAGAUGAAAAGCACUUUGGAAAGAGAGUUAAAAAGCACGUGAAAUUGUUGAAAGGGAAGCGCUUGCAGCCAGACUUGCCUGUAGUUGCUCAUCCGGGUUUUUACCCGGUGCACUCUUCUACGGGCAGGCCAGCAUCAGUUUGGGCGGUUGGAUAAAGGUCUCUGUCAUGUACCUCCUUUCGGGGAGAUCUUAUAGGGGAGACGACAUGCAACCAGCCUGGACUGAGGUCCGCGCAUCUGCUAGGAUGCUGGCGUAAUGGCUGUAAGCGGCCCGUCUUGAAACACGGACCAAGGAGUCUAACAUCUAUGCGAGUGUUUGGGUGUCAAGCCCGAACGCGUAAUGAAAGUGAACGGAGGUGGGAACCUUUCGGGGUGCACCAUCGACCGAUCCUGAUGUCUUCGGAUGGAUUUGAGUAAGAGCAUAGCUGUUGGGACCCGAAAGAUGGUGAACUAUGCUUGAAUAGGGUGAAGCCAGAGGAAACUCUGGUGGAGGCUCGCAGCGGUUCUGACGUGCAAAUCGAUCGUCAAAUUUGGGCAUAGGGGCGAAAGACUAAUCGA
This 855-nucleotide ribosomal RNA is filed under the name Epicoccum astragali. Its description in RNAcentral is "partial large subunit ribosomal RNA". It matches the Rfam family "Eukaryotic large subunit ribosomal RNA", at positions 65 to 938 of the family's 3401-position model. The record is from RNAcentral. Lineage: Eukaryota; Fungi; Ascomycota; Dothideomycetes; Pleosporales; Didymellaceae.